RNAcentral lists this long non-coding RNA (847 nucleotides) under Triticum aestivum (bread wheat). Its description in RNAcentral is "long non-coding RNA (TAES_LNC001928)". The record is from RNAcentral. Lineage: Eukaryota; Viridiplantae; Streptophyta; Magnoliopsida; Poales; Poaceae.
CGAGCCCAUGUAUACCAAAUCUUAUGAUCGGGAUAAUUCAGAAGUCAGUACUACCCAGGAUUUCACACAGCAAGAAAGAAAGAAGGGAAAUUCAUAUGCACAGUCACAUUUUAUCUACACAUAUGCUGCCAUUGUCAACGAUCGGCACGGCACAUGAUUGAACGGCCAAAGAGGCAGAAGCUACAGGAGCACGCGGAAAUUCAUUAAGAUAGGCUUCAGGACGACCAGCAGCUGAGCCGCACGGCCUCGUCGAACUUGCUCGCCAGCGUGGCGGGCUCAUCCUCCUCCUCCUCCUCGCCGCCGGCCCGACGCGGCCUCUCCUUCCCUUCGUGCCCCGCCGCAUCCCGCCGCUUCGGCGCCAGGACGCCGAGGGAGAAGAAGACAUUGCCAAGGCCGAACCUGAAGCCGCCGGUGCCGGCGCCGGCGCCGUCCUUGCCGUGUGGCGCGUCGGCGGGGCCGUGGUGGAGCUGGUGGUAGCUCAGGAACAGCAUCGACGCGCUCGGGGCCAUCGCCUAGCAAGCUAUGAUCCGCUUCGACCGACACUUUUCAGAAGGACCACGACGAUCUUGGAUUGGAUCAGGUUGGAUUGGGAUGGAUUGGAUUGGGAUGCAGUUCUGCUUGCUUCUUGGCUUCCUCGGGGUAUUUAUAUAUGGGGGGAAUGCGGGCUUUGAUCGUUCGUCCGUUCGAGAGGGAUGGGCGUGACGUGGCUGUUGGAUCGGAUAGGGCGGGCCCGCCACGUCGGCAUGGGGGCGCGUGCCGCCCGGGGUUUCCCGGGGGAAACCAGUGGGCUGUGUUGGAAGGUCCGACCGGGUGGCGCGUGGUAUCAGCGGGGUCCGGUGGGCUCGCG